RNAcentral lists this ribosomal RNA (425 nucleotides) under uncultured bacterium. Its description in RNAcentral is "partial 16S ribosomal RNA". It matches the Rfam family "Bacterial small subunit ribosomal RNA", at positions 354 to 796 of the family's 1533-position model. The record is from RNAcentral.
GUGGGGAAUCUUGCGCAAUGGGCGAAAGCCUGACGCAGCCAUGCCGCGUGAAUGAUGAAGGUCUUAGGAUUGUAAAAUUCUUUCACCGGGGACGAUAAUGACGGUACCCGGAGAAGAAGCUCCGGCUAACUCCGUGCCAGCAGCCGCGGUAAUACGGAGGGGGCUAGCGUUGUUCGGAAUUACUGGGCGUAAAGCGCACGUAGGCGGAUCAGAAAGUCAGAGGUGAACUCCCAGGGCUCAACCUUGGAACUGCCUUUGAUACUGGCUGUCUUGAGUUUGGGAGAGGUGAGUGGAACUCCGAGUGUAGAGGUGAAAUUCGUAGAUAUUCGGAAGAACACCAGUGGCGAAGGCGACUCACUGGCCCAAUACUGACGCUGAGGCGCGAAAGCGUGGGGAGCAAACAGGAUUAGAUACCCCUGUAGUCC